CUGGGAAUAUUCUUGCUGUUCUGGUUUUGUAAUCAUCAAGGCAGUCUAAACAUUCGCUAUGUUAAGACCACGCCUGUGUCCCGAGACCUAGUUCCUUCCCUAGGACUGGUUUUAUAAAUGCUGCUGAUAAAC
This is a small nucleolar RNA of Phyllostomus discolor (pale spear-nosed bat), 132 nucleotides long. RefSeq annotates it as small nucleolar RNA SNORA72. Lineage: Eukaryota; Metazoa; Chordata; Mammalia; Chiroptera; Phyllostomidae. The transcript has a single exon. The record is from RefSeq and is a predicted model, not a curated record.